AGUGAACGCUGGCGGUAGGCCUAACACAUGCAAGUCGAACGGCAGCACAGUAAGAGCUUGCUCUUACGGGUGGCGAGUGGCGGACGGGUGAGGAAUACAUCGGAAUCUACUUUUUCGUGGGGGAUAACGUAGGGAAACUUACGCUAAUACCGCAUACGACCUACGGGUGAAAGCAGGGGAUCUUCGGACCUUGCGCGAUUGAAUGAGCCGAUGUCGGAUUAGCUAGUUGGCGGGGUAAAGGCACACCAAGGCGACGAUCCGUAGCUGGUCUGAGAGGAUGAUCAGCCACACUGGAACUGAGAAACGGUCCAGACUCCUACGGGAGGCAGCAGUGGGGAAUAUUGGACAAUGGGCGCAAGCCUGAUCCAGCCAUACCGCGUGGGUGAAGAAGGCCUUCGGGUUGUAAAGCCCUUUUGUUGGGAAAGAAAAGCAGCAGGUUAAUACCCCGCUGUUCUGACGGUACCCAAAGAAUAAGCACCGGCUAACUUCGUG
RNAcentral lists this ribosomal RNA (492 nucleotides) under uncultured bacterium. Its description in RNAcentral is "partial 16S ribosomal RNA". It matches the Rfam family "Bacterial small subunit ribosomal RNA", at positions 29 to 507 of the family's 1533-position model. The record is from RNAcentral.